This 481-nucleotide long non-coding RNA is filed under the name Equus caballus (horse). RNAcentral's name for it is "lncRNA (ENSECAG00000053703.1)". The record is from RNAcentral. Lineage: Eukaryota; Metazoa; Chordata; Mammalia; Perissodactyla; Equidae.
AAAGAGAGAAGGAAUAAGCACGGGGCCAGGGCGGAGAGUGUCUCUCAGGACUUGACUCCAGAUAGCAUUUCCUGGGAAGUAAACUGAGGCCCCAAGGCAACAAAGCAAGAAACUAGGCCAAGCGCCUUGAGGCUAAAGGCCCAGUAACUGGGGGGCCCCAUUUACCUGCCCUGGUAGCUUCUGGCCAAUGAGAGACCUCCACCGCCUUUCCUUGCAGGAUGUACCAGGCUGCAGGCUCCAGCGCAGAGAAGGAGAAGACGGAGGCGGUGGUGAUGUCAACCAAGGAAUUAAGUACCAGCGAUUGUUAACAGCAGCACUGUUGCUGCCCCUGGUUGAGCUGUCUAUGGAAACAACGCCACCGGAUGGCAGACUGCUGACCGCGACCACGUGGCGUCCUCGUGGAGGGUACAGCCUGUUCCUCCUGCAGCAGGCACCUGUAGAGCUGCCUCCACUCAGGCUCCCUCACUCUCUAGGACCCAGC